This is a long non-coding RNA of Bactrocera dorsalis (oriental fruit fly), 2447 nucleotides long. RefSeq lists it as uncharacterized. The transcript has 4 exons. The record is from RefSeq and is a predicted model, not a curated record. NCBI's taxonomy places the organism in Eukaryota, Metazoa, Arthropoda, Insecta, Diptera, Tephritidae.
UUUUAAUAUUAAUAUUAAGAGCUCAUCUUAAUUUUACACAUUUUCGAAAGUUUUGAGCCUGUUUUUCAGUUUAAAAAGAAGGUUGCCUCAGAAUGACACACCCUAAUAUACAUAUAACUAAUAAGGAAGGCUUAAGUUCUAGAACAUACAUACAUGGGCGUUUUGACUCACAUGAGCAGUUACUCUCAGCACACGUAUUCUUACGCUCUUAUUUCAGUCGCUGUUGAGAGCGAAAAAAACCAUUUUUGCACUGUGGGAUAAUGAAUUGAUUUUCCUGCCAGUUGCGCUGCAGACAGCAACGAGGUAACAUAGGUAGUCGGUAUGUUGAUGUUUUUUUAUGCCCUAGUAUAUUUUUGCCCCAUUUGAAAUGUAUAACAUAAAUAAAAUGUUAUAAUUUCAGAUACCUUUGGUGGGGUAAAUUGGGAGUUGACUACUUUUACUAGCAAACUAGUUAGCGGAAAUUUUAAGAUAAAGUUGAAAUUGUGAAGUUCUCGAUUUUUUUUUUUUUUUAACAUAUUAUCUCUCUCAAUACCCUCAUAUUUCUCAAAGUAUUUAUGGAAGGUAUUAUAGUGCCUCCUAAAAUUAUACCUAUGCCCGGGUCCCCUUUACACACAUAUUACACAAUAGACAUUGCAUAUUACCAAAGGCAUCGGAAAUCAUAAAGCAAUAUUUGUCAUUCAUUUUGAACAAACACAUAUAGGUACGCGCAUAAAUAGUAUCAUAAAACAAUCAAGCGGCGACGAUGUUGCUUCGCUGUUGUUUGUUAAUCAACUGACUGCAAAUGUUCUUUGUCCCAUGGUGGCCACUUUACGCUCGCGGUUACCAAUACACCCAUACAUUUCAUUUGCCCAUCGCUGUUCUAGAAUCUAGAAUAACCGAACAUUUCAUACUCAUGCAACCUUCAAGAAUGUAAGCAGGAGUAUACAUAUGUAUGCAAGUUUUCACCCGAUUUUAUUCAUUCUAAGCACAAAGGUGCACCGUUAUAAGAAAACAAGCUCUCUUAAUUUUAUUAAAAUAACUUACAUAUUCGCCAAUAUGUGUAUGCGGUAUAAAGUCACCCGGAAGUUCAAAAAUCUUUACAUUUGGUAUAUGGGAGAUAAGGUAAAUAUUGACCCGCUUUAACCCUUUUUUAACAUACAGACAUACUAUUAUAAGGAAAUAAUUCUCUCCAAUUUUCAAUUAUACAUCGCACAUUGAUCGAUAUUUUGGUGAAAAAUCAACUAUAAGCACUGUGGUUUUAACAGUACUGUGCGAGUUACGAGCUGAACACAAGCUUUGCAAAUCUUGAUCACGUAUCUACAUACAUAUGUAUAUAGAAACUUUUGCCGUCGAAUCGCAGAAUAUGUUAGACAAUAGGGGUAUUCAGACCAGCCUUGUUAAUUCGUUAGUCGUUAGUUCGGUAGUUUUUACAUGUAUUUUGUUUUUGUAAAAUUAACAGACUAUCGUUUUACCGAGUAACGAACUAUCCAGCUGGCAAGCUUGAUAAUUGUUUCGUUACUCGGUAAUAUCACAUCAGCUGUUUGUUUGUUGUUCGUUGCUUUAUUCAUUUUCAACGGAAAAAUAAGUCUGGCGUUCGUUGCUUAUUUUUAAAGGGAAAAAUAAAUUUGGUGCACACUCGUGAGUUUGGAAAAAUUUUGCAAAAUGGAACCUCAAAAGAAAAUACGCAAGAGGGCAAAGCCUAAAAAAAAAUGGAAAACCAAACGCCCAAUUGUACUACAAAAAACUAGUUGAAACAACAAAUAUCGAUGCGACUACGGACAUGUUGCGCUGCAAGGUACUGGAAGCAGAUGUAUAAUAAAGCUGAGGAGUGGCGCAAAUCGACUGGUUCUGGAAUAGACGUUGGCGAUGAUGUUUCCUUAAUAAAAGCAAAACUUUCACAAAUGUGUCCGAAUUAUGAACGGUUUUCGGUUCUAUUUGGGAGUAAAUCCGAAGCCAAUUGUGUUUUAGAGACGUACAACCCUGAAGUGUCACAAUACUGCAGCGAUUUUGCAGACCUUGUAGAGGUAGUGGAAAUUCCAACCGAACCAUCACAAUCAUCUGCGAAACCAUCGGGUUCACUUAACGACAAAGCAGAACAGACAACAAUAGGAGCAGAGGUAGCAACAGAUCCUCCUACCACUCCGUCGCUCCUCGAAAAAGUGAAAUAACGCACUCCAAAGAAUAUUCUUAGUGAACUUAAAGAUAUACAAAAGAAGAGAACAGUUUUUUUUAACAACGAAUAGAAAUUGAAAAAGAAAAGUUAAAUUUGGAAAAGUUAAAGCUAGAAUUGGACAGAGAAAAGUUAAAUAAAGAUUUUGAAAUAAAAAAAAUUGGAGUUCGAGCAAAAAGAAAGACUGGCGAUGAUUGAACUAAAGUGCAAAUAUAAUAUGUAACAAUUUUAUAUGUAUGUUUUGUAUAAUAAUUUUUAAGAAUAUACAAAUGUAUCUAAAUGUGAUAACUUGAAGUAC